This 336-nucleotide long non-coding RNA is filed under the name Vigna radiata. RNAcentral describes it as "long non-coding RNA (VRAD_LNC011795)". Lineage: Eukaryota; Viridiplantae; Streptophyta; Magnoliopsida; Fabales; Fabaceae. The record is from RNAcentral.
AGGGCUGCAAAACCUAGAGCCCCAAGGUCCUUUAAAUAGUGUCAAACGCGUUCCAAGUGAAAUCUCGCCCAAGCGUCGCAGGGAGCUCGGUCGGGUGAGAAUUAGCAGUAAUGUAGGGCUUGGGCGUCAAAUUUGGACACCCAAGCUACGAGCGUCCACUGCCCGAGCAUCGGGAGCCACUGCCCGGGCGACGAGCGUCGAUUCUGGAUGCUUUCUCCGCGCUCCUGGUUGCUCGGGCUUCGCGUGUUCCCUCCUUCUAGUGCCUUUUUAGCCUCCUUUGAGCUCCAUCUUCUUGGCUUUUCACUUCUUCUUCUAGUAUUAGCUCAAUCUCUGUCA